GCUCUCAUAGUCUAGAGGCCAAGGAUACCACCCUCUCACGGUGGCGACCCGGGUUCGAAUCCCGGUGGGAGCG
This 73-nucleotide transfer RNA is filed under the name archaeon. Its description in RNAcentral is "tRNA-Glu". It matches the Rfam family "tRNA". From Rfam's summary of the family: Transfer RNA (tRNA) molecules are approximately 80 nucleotides in length. Their secondary structure includes four short double-helical elements and three loops (D, anti-codon, and T loops). The record is from RNAcentral.